Molecule: ribosomal RNA, 466 nt
Filed under: Triticum aestivum (bread wheat)
Lineage: Eukaryota; Viridiplantae; Streptophyta; Magnoliopsida; Poales; Poaceae
Description: partial small subunit ribosomal RNA
Source: RNAcentral
CUCAGUGCCCCGCCUUCCUCCACCUCGCCUCUGACCCCCUCUGCACCAGAUCCACCUAGCCAAGACCUCUGUCGCGUCGUCCCCGAGGGCGCUGCUUGCAGGUAGCCCGCCAACAAGCUCCGGCACCAGCCCUCGGUCACCUCCACGGUUGCCCUCACCGUCCUGGUGAAACCACAAGCGUCGUCAAGUUCUUUUGGCAACCGAGCGCAAGCUUUGAUUCAUGAUCUCUUUGCCACAAUGUUUGGAAUCCCUACUCGCAUAUCCCAGGAGACUGAAAAAAGUACUCUAUAUAAACUGUGCUAAUUGAAUGCAAGCGGCCAAGGUGGGACUAUAUUUAGUAGGAGUUGAUAUAACCGGCAUUUAAUUCUUCCGUGGACCGUUUUUGUUGGUGGCUUAGUUGGGCUACAGCCGUGCCUUCGUGAUGGACGAACGAAAUCAAAACGAAUAGUGAAAACGUAUUACGACG